AGAGUUUAUAACACCCGAAGUCGGUGGGGUAACCGCAAGGAGCCAGCCGCCGAAGGUGGGAUAGAUGAUUGGGGUGAAGUCGUAACAAGGUAGCCGUAUCGGAAGGUGCGGCUGGAUCACCUCCUUUCUAUGGAGA
Molecule: ribosomal RNA, 136 nt
Filed under: Paenibacillus xylanilyticus
Lineage: Bacteria; Bacillati; Bacillota; Bacilli; Caryophanales; Paenibacillaceae
Description: partial 16S ribosomal RNA
Rfam family: Bacterial small subunit ribosomal RNA
Source: RNAcentral